ACAGUGGACGCGAGCAUCUGUGGCCAAGUUUUUAAGGGCGCACGGUGGAUGCCUUGGCACCAGGAACCGAUGAAGGACGUGGGAGGCCACGAUAGUCCCCGGGGAGUCGUCAACCAGGCUUUGAUCCGGGGGUUUCCGAAUGGGGAAACCCGGCAGUCGUCAUGGGCUGUCACCCGCUGCUGAACACAUAGGCAGUGUGGAGGGAACGCGGGGAAGUGAAACAUCUCAGUACCCGCAGGAAGAGAAAACAACCGUGAUUCCGGGAGUAGUGGCGAGCGAAACUGGAUGAGGCCAAACCGUAUGCGUGUGAGACCCGGCAGGGGUUGCGCAUGCGGGGUUGUGGGAUCUCUCUUC
RNAcentral lists this ribosomal RNA (354 nucleotides) under Streptomyces antibioticus. RNAcentral describes it as "bacterial LSU rRNA". It matches the Rfam family "Bacterial large subunit ribosomal RNA", at positions 1 to 314 of the family's 2925-position model. The record is from RNAcentral. Lineage: Bacteria; Bacillati; Actinomycetota; Actinomycetes; Kitasatosporales; Streptomycetaceae.